RNAcentral lists this transfer RNA (72 nucleotides) under Metschnikowia hawaiiensis. RNAcentral describes it as "tRNA-Met". It matches the Rfam family "tRNA". From Rfam's summary of the family: Transfer RNA (tRNA) molecules are approximately 80 nucleotides in length. Lineage: Eukaryota; Fungi; Ascomycota; Pichiomycetes; Serinales; Metschnikowiaceae. RNAcentral also lists the same sequence under 6 other names. The record is from RNAcentral.
GCUUAGGUAGUUCAAUGGUUAGAACAGAUACCUCAUAUGUAUCUAAUAUAGGUUCAAUUCCUUUCUUAAGCU